RNAcentral lists this ribosomal RNA (481 nucleotides) under uncultured bacterium. RNAcentral's name for it is "bacterial SSU rRNA". It matches the Rfam family "Bacterial small subunit ribosomal RNA", at positions 28 to 526 of the family's 1533-position model. The record is from RNAcentral.
GACGAACGCUGGCGGCGUGCUUAACACAUGCAAGUCGAACGAUGAGGCGGUGCUUGCACCGCGGAUUAGUGGCGAACGGGUGAGUAACACGUGAGUAACCUGCCCUUGGCUCUGGGAUAAGCGCUGGAAACGGUGUCUAAUACUGGAUAUGACUUCUUGCCGCAUGGUGAGGGGUGGAAAGAUUUUUUCGGCCAUGGAUGGGCUCGCGGCCUAUCAGCUUGUUGGUGAGGUAGUGGCUCACCAAGGCGACGACGGGUAGCCGGCCUGAGAGGGUGACCGGCCACACUGGGACUGAGACACGGCCCAGACUCCUACGGGAGGCAGCAGUGGGGAAUAUUGCACAAUGGGCGAAAGCCUGAUGCAGCAACGCCGCGUGGGGGAUGACGGCCUUCGGGUUGUAAAGCUCUUUCAGCUGGGAAGAUAAUGACGGUACCAGCAGAAGAAGCCCCGGCUAACUCCGUGCCAGCAGCCGCCGUAAUAC